GGUGCAUGCCUCUAGCAUGAAGUCAGACAAGUGAACCCGCUGAAUUUAA
This 49-nucleotide ribosomal RNA is filed under the name Cladocopium sp. clade C. RNAcentral describes it as "partial 28S ribosomal RNA". Lineage: Eukaryota; Dinophyceae; Suessiales; Symbiodiniaceae. The record is from RNAcentral.